Molecule: ribosomal RNA, 395 nt
Filed under: uncultured bacterium
Lineage: Bacteria
Description: partial 16S ribosomal RNA
Rfam family: Bacterial small subunit ribosomal RNA
Source: RNAcentral
AUACGUAGGGUGCGAGCGUUAAUCGGAAUUACUGGGCGUAAAGCGUGCGCAGGCGGUUUUUGAAGACAGUGGGGAAAUCCCCGGGGUCAACCUGGGAACUGCCAUUGUGACUGCAAGGCUGGGGUUCGGCAGAGGGGGGUGGAAUUCCGCGUGUCGCAGGGAAAUGCGUAGAUAUGCGGAGGAACACCGAUGGCGAAGGCAAUCCCCUGGGCCUGCACUGACGCUCAUGCACGAAAGCGUGGGGAGCAAACAGGAUUAGAUACCCUGGUAGUCCACGCCCUAAACGAUGUCAACUGGUUGUUGGGAAUUUAUUUUCUCAGUAACGAAGCUAACGCGUGAAGUUGACCGCCUGGGGAGUACGGCCGCAAGGUUAAAACUUAAAGGAAUUGGCGGGG